GAUGAACGCUGGCGGCGUGCCUAAUACAUGCAAGUCGAGCGAACAGACGAGGAGCUUGCUCCUCUGACGUUAGCGGCGGACGGGUGAGUAACACGUGGAUAACCUACCUAUAAGACUGGGAUAACUUCGGGAAACCGGGGCUAAUACCGGAUAAUAUAUUGAACCGCAUGGUUCAAUAGUGAAAGACGGUUUUGCUGUCACUUAUAGAUGGAUCCGCGCCGCAUUAGCUAGUUGGUAAGGUAACGGCUUACCAAGGCGACGAUGCGUAGCCGACCUGAGAGGGUGAUCGGCCACCCUGGAACUGAGACACGGUCCAGACUCCUACGGGAGGCAGCAGUAGGGAAUCUUCCGCCAUGGGCGAAAGCCUGACGGAGCAACGCCGCGUGAGUGAUGAAGGUCUUCGGAUCGUAAAACUCUGUUAUUAGGGAAGAACAAAUGUGUAAGUAACUAUGCACGUCUUGACGGUACCUAAUCAGAAAGCCACGGCUAACUACGUG
This 497-nucleotide ribosomal RNA is filed under the name uncultured bacterium. RNAcentral describes it as "partial 16S ribosomal RNA". It matches the Rfam family "Bacterial small subunit ribosomal RNA", at positions 28 to 507 of the family's 1533-position model. The record is from RNAcentral.